Molecule: ribosomal RNA, 830 nt
Filed under: Escherichia sp. SVUB6
Lineage: Bacteria; Pseudomonadati; Pseudomonadota; Gammaproteobacteria; Enterobacterales; Enterobacteriaceae
Description: bacterial SSU rRNA
Rfam family: Bacterial small subunit ribosomal RNA
Source: RNAcentral
CAGGCUACACAUGCAAGUCGAACGGUAGCACAGAGAGCUUGCUCUCGGGUGACGAGUGGCGGACGGGUGAGUAAUGUCUGGGAAACUGCCUGAUGGAGGGGGAUAACUACUGGAAACGGUAGCUAAUACCGCAUAACGUCGCAAGACCAAAGAGGGGGACCUUCGGGCCUCUUGCCAUCAGAUGUGCCCAGAUGGGAUUAGCUAGUAGGUGGGGUAACGGCUCACCUAGGCGACGAUCCCUAGCUGGUCUGAGAGGAUGACCAGCCACACUGGAACUGAGACACGGUCCAGACUCCUACGGGAGGCAGCAGUGGGGAAUAUUGCACAAUGGGCGCAAGCCUGAUGCAGCCAUGCCGCGUGUAUGAAGAAGGCCUUCGGGUUGUAAAGUACUUUCAGCGAGGAGGAAGGCGAUACGGUUAAUAACCGUGUCGAUUGACGUUACUCGCAGAAGAAGCACCGGCUAACUCCGUGCCAGCAGCCGCGGUAAUACGGAGGGUGCAAGCGUUAAUCGGAAUUACUGGGCGUAAAGCGCACGCAGGCGGUCUGUCAAGUCGGAUGUGAAAUCCCCGGGCUCAACCUGGGAACUGCAUUCGAAACUGGCAGGCUUGAGUCUUGUAGAGGGGGGUAGAAUUCCAGGUGUAGCGGUGAAAUGCGUAGAGAUCUGGAGGAAUACCGGUGGCGAAGGCGGCCCCCUGGACAAAGACUGACGCUCAGGUGCGAAAGCGUGGGGAGCAAACAGGAUUAGAUANCCUGGUAGUCCACGCCGUAAACGAUGUCGACUUGGAGGUUGUGCCCUUGAGGCGUGGCUUCCGGAGCUAACGCGUUAAGUC